UCCUUGUUUCCAAGGCAGUCCCGCUUAAGUGCCACCUUUCGGCGUUGCAAUAAGCGGCAAGGGUUGCGCUCGUUAAAGGACUUAACCCAACAUCUCACGACACGAGCUGACGACAGCCAUGCAGCACCUGUGCAACAGUCGGUAUUACUACCGAAGACGAUAUUUCUAUCGCUGUCUGAAGCAUGUCAAGCCUAGGUAAGGUUUCUCGCGUAGUGUCGAAUUAAACCACAUGUUCCACCGCUUGUGCGGACCCCCGUCAAUUCCUUUGAGUUUUAAUCUUGCGACCGUACUCCCCAGGCGGAUCACUUAACGCGUUAGCUUCGACACAGAUCCCGCAUAUAGCAGAACCCACAUCCAGUGAUCAUCGUUUACAGCGUGGACUAC
RNAcentral lists this unclassified non-coding RNA (384 nucleotides) under uncultured bacterium. RNAcentral's name for it is "contains 16S-23S intergenic spacer region". The record is from RNAcentral.